This 257-nucleotide ribosomal RNA is filed under the name uncultured bacterium. RNAcentral describes it as "partial 16S ribosomal RNA". It matches the Rfam family "Bacterial small subunit ribosomal RNA", at positions 524 to 776 of the family's 1533-position model. The record is from RNAcentral.
UACGAAGGGGGCUAGCGUUGCUCGGAAUCACUGGGCGUAAAGGGUGCGUAGGCGGGUCUUUUAAGUCAGGGGUGAAAUCCUGGAGCUCAACUCCAGAACUGCCUUUGAUACUGAAGAUCUUGAGUUCGGGAGAGGUGAGUGGAACUGCGAGUGUAGAGGUGAAAUUUCGUAGAUAUUCGCAAGAACACCAGUGGCGAAGGCGGCUCACUGGCCCGAUACUGACGCUGAGGCACGAAAAGCGUGGGGGAGCAAACAGG